GACGAACGCUGGCGGCGUGCUUAACACAUGCAAGUCGAACGGAAAGGCCCUGCUUGCCGGGUACUCGAGUGGCGAACGGGUGAGUAACACGUGGGUGAUCUGCCCUGCACUUCGGGAUAAGCCUGGGAAACUGGGUCUAAUACCGGAUAGGAGCCAUUUUUAGUGUGAUGGUUGGAAAGUUUUUUCGGUGUAGGAUGAGCUCGCGGCCUAUCAGCUUGUUGGUGGGGUAAUGGCCUACCAAGGCGGCGACGGGUAGCCGGCCUGAGAGGGUGGACGGCCACAUUGGGACUGAGAUACGGCCCAGACGCCUACGGGAGGCAGCAGUGGGGAAUAUUGCACAAUGGGCGCAAGCCUGAUGCAGCGACGCCGCGUGGGGGAUGACGGCCUUCGGGUUGUAAACGCCUUUCGCUAGGGACGAAGCUUUUUGUGACGGUACCUAGAUAAGAAGCACCGGCUAACUACGUG
Molecule: ribosomal RNA, 465 nt
Filed under: uncultured bacterium
Lineage: Bacteria
Description: partial 16S ribosomal RNA
Rfam family: Bacterial small subunit ribosomal RNA
Source: RNAcentral